GUUUUAAUAGUUUAGUAAAAAAUAUUAUAUUGUGGAUAUAAAGACACAUAAGUUUAAAGCA
This 61-nucleotide transfer RNA is filed under the name Pseudoniphargus mercadali. RNAcentral's name for it is "tRNA-His". Lineage: Eukaryota; Metazoa; Arthropoda; Malacostraca; Amphipoda; Allocrangonyctidae. The record is from RNAcentral.